CAGUAUGAGAAAUAUAUGUCUUUCAUUCGGGGAUUCCUUUUCUUCAUCAAGCACAGUGAGACAUACUGUCCUCACUAACAGGCUGGGGAGAAGCAGCCUGGGAGGCGGAGGUGGAGCCUGUGAUGUAACUGCAGUGGGUCUUUGCUAGAAAAGUCUUCUCUAAAUGAAAAAUAUCUGUACACCGAAUUGUUCAGCUUCAAUGUGCAUGGUCUUACAAGAGAAGAGACUUGUCUCUUUCAGCAUAAUGUAAAUCUUAGAGGCUUGAAAUCUUGGUCAACAGAGGAAUUCCUCACAAGUUGUUUAGAGAUAUACCAAGAGUCUCACUAAGGGAGGAAAAAGCAGGUUUCUUCAGCAAAGGAGUACCACUGUAGAGCAUUAAUGGUGUGUGUGUUAUAGUGGAAGUUAUAACCCAAAGUGUAAGGAAAGAUGCCCUACAGCUUGUUCCAAUCCUGAAAGUUUCCUACAUUACUGUGUUCUUUCAUUAUUCUUGACAGUGAUUAUGAAAAAGACCUUCAUUUCUUAUUCCCAUGGAAGAAUUUAGGAGAGAUAAACGCCUCCCAGUUGUAGAAGGAUACAAAUUUUGCCUUCCUCAAAAUUUCAACUAGAUCUCAGAUUCAACUUCUAGGGAGAGAAUGACUAAUUCUGUAUAACUACUUGGUGUUUUAAGAUGAUAAUGAAUUAAGACGUUUAUUCCAACAUAAGCAUAUUACCUGCUUUCCACCAUAUUGGAAGCUCCGGUUUGUCAAGCUCCAGGCUCAACACGCACACUGCAGAGAUGCAGAACAACGCUUGGAUAUCUGCCCAAGACUGGUCUCUCCGAACGACAGACUCAAAUUUACGGCCGAUCCCUUGGAACGCGGAGGCUCCUCGUGCCUACUUAUUUGCCCGGGCUUCUAAGACCCACACGAAAAGGAGCCCAAGGCGGGGCACCUUCUGCUAUUCAAGUGGGUGUCUGUGGCCUAACGUAGACGGUGCAAGUUUCUUGUCUUGAGACUUUAUUAGCUUUCCGUGUAAACCAAGGAAUAUCAGCCUCUUUUCUCCACUAAUUUUCCUACUAUACUAUUCUUUCCUAAUCUCUCUGUAUAUUUCUAAAUAAAUAAGUUUUUCCUCGCUG
RNAcentral lists this long non-coding RNA (1114 nucleotides) under Capra hircus (goat). RNAcentral describes it as "lncRNA (ENSCHIG00000002085.1)". The record is from RNAcentral. Lineage: Eukaryota; Metazoa; Chordata; Mammalia; Artiodactyla; Bovidae.